Chlorocebus sabaeus (green monkey) is the source of this 82-nucleotide microRNA precursor. Ensembl annotates it as microRNA 939. Its record names the gene MIR939. The record is from Ensembl. NCBI's taxonomy places the organism in Eukaryota, Metazoa, Chordata, Mammalia, Primates, Cercopithecidae.
UGUGGGCAGGGCCCUGGGGAGCUGAGGCUCUGGGGGUGGCCGGGGCUGACCGUGGGCCUCUGCUCCCCAGUGUCUGAUCGUG